CCUACGGGUGGCUGCAGUGGGGAAUAUUGGGCAAUGGGCGCAAGCCUGACCCAGCAACGCCGCGUGAAGGAAGAAGGCUUUCGGGUUGUAAACUUCUUUUCUCAGGGACGAAGCAAGUGACGGUACCUGAGGAAUAAGCCACGGCUAACUACGUGCCAGCAGCCGCGGUACUACGUAGGUGGCAAGCGUUCUCCGGAUUUACUGUGUGUAAAGGGGGUGUAGGCGGGGACGCAAGUCAGAUGUGAAAGCCACGGGCUCAACCCGUGGACUGCAUUUGAAACUGUGUGGCUUGAGUGCUGGAGGGGCAGACGGAAUUCCUGGUGUAGCGGUGAAAUGCGUAGAUAUUAGGAGGAACACCAGUGGCGAAGGCGGUCUGCUGGACAGCAACUGACGCUGAGGCGCGAAAGCGUGGGGAGCAAACAGGAUUAGAUACCCGGGUAGUC
This 443-nucleotide ribosomal RNA is filed under the name uncultured bacterium. RNAcentral's name for it is "partial 16S ribosomal RNA". It matches the Rfam family "Bacterial small subunit ribosomal RNA", at positions 338 to 795 of the family's 1533-position model. The record is from RNAcentral.